Molecule: long non-coding RNA, 852 nt
Filed under: Mytilus galloprovincialis (Mediterranean mussel)
Lineage: Eukaryota; Metazoa; Mollusca; Bivalvia; Mytilida; Mytilidae
Source: RNAcentral
CCAGCAUGUCCUCCUUUUAUUCAAAAUAUUGAUACGUAACAAAAUUUCAGUAGUUUUGAUACCUCAUGCUGACUUGUACAACAAAAUGAUUUGACCGCAUUGACCAAAACUGACCAUAUGUGCACUUUAAUUUGUAAAUCUAUAUACCAUGUAUACCCGCAUAGUAAAUAAGCCAUAUUUUUUAUGCCAGGAUUCAAUGUAUAAUACAAUGGACAGUAAUAUUGCAAUAUAAUAACAACAAAUUUUUGUUCGCAUUAAUUUUGGAUGUCAGCAUGUCCUCCUUUUAUUCAAAAUAUUGAUACGUAACAAAAUUUCAGUAGAUUUGAUACCUCAUGCUGACUUAUACAACAAAAUUAUUUGACUGCAUCGACCAAAAACUGACCUGCAUAUGUGCACUUUAAUUUAAAAAUCUAUAUAUAUCAACAUAGUAAAUCAGCCAUAUUUUUGAUGUCUGGAUUCAAUGUAUAAAAUAAAUGACCGCUGUUGGGAUGGCGCCUAAUUAUGUCUUCUCCUGGCACUCCUGUGAACAUGUUAGUAGGACGGCAAAUGUAAGCAAUAAGGAAAACAAUUAAUGCAAAUUUUUUUUCUGCAUACAUUGAGAAUGUCAGCGUUUCAUCUCUGUAUUCAUGAUAUUGAACAGUCACUAGGGUGUGUAAAACGAAACUAUUAGGGCGCAUCAUGCAAGUACAUGUACCAACACUGACAUGUCUGAAUUCAUUUGUGAUUUUUAAUAAAAAAUGUAUUUGAGGUUCUCUUCUGGUAAUAGUAUACUGUUAAUCUAUUAUGUCGGUUGAUUGGUUUUGUUUGUAGUUAAACGUCAAGUGACAACUAUUUCAUUCAUGUGCACAAAUC